AAAGCGGCGGACGGGUGAGUAAUGCUUGGGAAUCUACCUAGUAGUGGGGGAUAACGUGUGGAAACGCACGCUAAUACCGCAUACGAUCUACGGAUGAAAGCGGGGGACCUUCGGGCCUCGCGCGAUUGGAGCGGCCGAUGUUAGAUUAGGUAGUUGGUGGGGUAAUGGUCUACCAAGCCGACGAUCCAUAGCUGGUUUGAGAGGAUGAUCAGCCACACUGGAACUGAGACACGGUCCAGACUCC
This 244-nucleotide ribosomal RNA is filed under the name uncultured bacterium. RNAcentral's name for it is "partial 16S ribosomal RNA". It matches the Rfam family "Bacterial small subunit ribosomal RNA", at positions 92 to 339 of the family's 1533-position model. The record is from RNAcentral.